GACGAACGCUGGCGGCGUGCCUAAUACAUGCAAGUAGAACGCUGAAGGAGGAGCUUGCUUCUCUGGAUGAGUUGCGAACGGGUGAGUAACGCGUAGGUAACCUGCCUGGUAGCGGGGGAUAACUAUUGGAAACGAUAGCUAAUACCGCAUAAGAGUAGAUGUCGCAUGACAUUUGCUUAAAAGGUGCAAUUGCAUCACUACCAGAUGGACCUGCGUUGUAUUAGCUAGUUUGUGAGGUAACGGCUCACCAAGGCAACGAUACAUAGCCGACCUGAGAGGGUGAUCGGCCACACUGGGACUGGGACACGGCCCAGACUCCUACUGGAGGCAGCAGUAGGGAAUCUUCGGCAAUAGACGGAAGUCUGACCGAGCAACGCCGCGUGAGUGAAGAAGGUUUUCGGAUCGUAAAGCUCUGUUGUAAGAGAAGAACGAGUGUGAGAGUGGAAAGUUCACACUGUGACGGUAUCUUACCAGAAAGGGACGGCUAACUACGUG
This 495-nucleotide ribosomal RNA is filed under the name uncultured bacterium. Its description in RNAcentral is "partial 16S ribosomal RNA". It matches the Rfam family "Bacterial small subunit ribosomal RNA", at positions 28 to 507 of the family's 1533-position model. The record is from RNAcentral.